This 433-nucleotide ribosomal RNA is filed under the name uncultured bacterium. RNAcentral's name for it is "partial 16S ribosomal RNA". It matches the Rfam family "Bacterial small subunit ribosomal RNA", at positions 29 to 507 of the family's 1533-position model. The record is from RNAcentral.
AACGAACGCUGGCGGCAUGCCUAACACAUGCAAGUCGAACGAGACCUUCGGGUCUAGUGGCGCACGGGUGCGUAACGCGUGGGAACCUGCCCUUAGGUUCGGAAUAACUCCCCGAAAGGGGUGCUAAUACCGGAUAAUGUCUUCGGACCAAAGAUUUAUCGCCUUUGGAUGGGCCCGCGUUGGAUUAGCUAGUUGGUAGGGUAAAAGCCUACCAAGGCGACGAUCCAUAGCUGGUCUGAGAGGAUGAUCAGCCACACUGGGACUGAGACACGGCCCAGACUCCUACGGGAGGCAGCAGUGGGGAAUAUUGGACAAUGGGCGAAAGCCAGAUCCAGCAAUGCCGCGUGAGUGAUGAAGGCCUUAGGGUUGUAAAGCUCUUUUACCCGGGAUGAGAAUGACAGUACCGGGAGAAUAAGCUCCGGCUAACUCCGUG